UCCCCGGUAGCUCAGCGGUAGAGCAAGUGACUGUUAAUCACUGGGUCGGCGGUUCGAAUCCGUCCCGGGGAGCCA
This 75-nucleotide transfer RNA is filed under the name Halorhodospira halophila. RNAcentral's name for it is "tRNA-Asn". It matches the Rfam family "tRNA". From Rfam's summary of the family: Transfer RNA (tRNA) molecules are approximately 80 nucleotides in length. Their secondary structure includes four short double-helical elements and three loops (D, anti-codon, and T loops). The record is from RNAcentral. RNAcentral also lists the same sequence under 9 other names. Lineage: Bacteria; Pseudomonadati; Pseudomonadota; Gammaproteobacteria; Chromatiales; Ectothiorhodospiraceae.